AAGUGGAGCAAUCCAUGAGUACAGUGGCGUACGGGUGAGUAACACGUGACUAACCUACCCUCGAGUGGGGAAUAACCUCGGGAAACCGGGGCUAAUACCGCAUAACAUCUACGGAUCAAAUGCGCAAGCAGCUUGAGGAGGGGGUCGCGGCCGAUUAGCUAGUUGGCGGGGUAAUGGCCCACCAAGACGAUGAUCGGUAUCCGGCCUGAGAGGGCGCACGGACACACUGGAACUGAAACACGGUCCAGACUCCUACGGGAGGCAGCAGUGGGGAAUUUUGCGCAAUGGGGGAAACCCUGACGCAGCAACGCCGCGUGGAGGAUGAAGUCCUUCGGG
Molecule: ribosomal RNA, 336 nt
Filed under: uncultured bacterium
Lineage: Bacteria
Description: bacterial SSU rRNA
Rfam family: Bacterial small subunit ribosomal RNA
Source: RNAcentral